This 3427-nucleotide long non-coding RNA is filed under the name Selaginella moellendorffii. Its description in RNAcentral is "long non-coding RNA (SMOE_LNC002391)". The record is from RNAcentral. Lineage: Eukaryota; Viridiplantae; Streptophyta; Lycopodiopsida; Selaginellales; Selaginellaceae.
CUACUUCCAUAGAUGCAAGGUCAGCACAGGCUUUGAGAGCGGCGACGUAAGUCAGUUGAUUUGGUGCCCAGGUGACGUCUUCGGCAGCUAGCAUCCGUUCGAACAGUUUCAUAGCAAGCUCGGGCUCUCUGCUUUCAGCGUAGCUGAGGACCAUGGCCGUCCAGAUCGUCGGAUCUCUCCUCGUCUUGGUCCUCUCGAAGAGCCUCCGAGCAUCUACAACGCUUCCAAGUUUGGCAUACAGAUCGAUCAACGAGCUCGCAACGUGGACAUGCAAGUCAAGGCCACAUCUCUCGGCUUGCCAGUGGAUUUCUACGACUUUGUCGAACAGGAACUUGCUACUACCGGCGGAGUGUUUCCUCGUCAAUCCCAGGCAGGCCUUGAGAGCGGCCGCAAAGCUCAGAGCAUCUGCAGUGACGCCGGAGGCUUGCAUCCUGGAAAAGAUUUUCAAGGCCACCUCUUCUUCGCCAUUGUCCGCAUGUCCGAGCACGAGGGCAGUCCAGGAAACAACGUCGGGACAAGCCAUUUCCUGGAAAACAGCUCGGGCAUUCUCCAAGCUUCCACACUUGGAGUACAUGUCCACCAGAGUAUUGGCGACGAACUUGUCCGAGACGAAGCCGAGCUUGGCAGCUCGAGAGUGGACAUCCAUGCCUUUGCCGAGAGACUGGAGCUUCACCAAUCUUCCAUCGACAAGGCGACUGUGCUCCUUCUCGGCCAGACAGGCACAGGCUUUGAGAGCAGCGACGAAGACUCGGGCAUCCAGGCAAGGAGCUGCGUCUCCUUGCGCUAGCAGGCACUCGAAGAGCUUGAGGCCGAGCUCUCCAUCGCCUCGGUCGACAUAGCCGAGGAUGAGAGACGUCCAGGACGCAGCAGUCCGGAAGAUCAUCCGGCCAAACACUGCUCGAGCUUCUUCCAAGCUCCCGGAUUUGGCAUACAUGCUCACGAGCGUGUUGGCUACAUACUUGUUGGUGGAAUCAUCCCCGGCUUCUCGUGAGGCGUCGUCGUGGAUCUUCGUGCCGGUUUGGAGAUCGCCCAAGAGACCGCAUGCUUGAAGCGCGGCGACCACUAAGGAAAUGCGUACCUUCUUUGGGUGCUUGGCGAAGAACUUGGGAUUGCCGUGGAAGACCCACUCAGCCCGCGUCUGUAGCUUGGACAAGCGCUUACAAGUCAUUCAUAUCUUUAUUAUGUUAAAACCUUAUAGCAAUGGCAAUGGUAAAUCAAUGAAAGGAGCUGGGCCUGGUGCUACUGUUGGUGGUGCUGGUGGCGUUGGUGCUAGUGGUGUGGUUGUGUUGGUGAAAGUGCCUGGUGGUGGUGGUGGUAAAAGUGAAGGUGUGUCAGUGAAAGUGAAGGUGAUAGUGGUGUAACUGGUGGACGAAGUGUUUUUGGAGGUGGUGGCGGUGUGUAGGUGAAAGUGAAGGUGCAAAUAGUGGUGGUGGCGGUGUGGGUGAAAGUGAAGGUGAUAGUGGUGCUGGUGCUGGUGUAACUGGUGGGGUGGUGGCGGUGGUGUUUUUGGUGGUGGUGUAGGUGAAAGUGAAGGUGCCAAUUGUGGUGGCGCUUCAAGUAGUGGUGUUAGUGGUGGUGGUGUUUUUGGCAGAGGCAAUGGCAGUGUUCUUGGUGGUGGUGGUGGUGGUGUGUUGGUGGUGGUGAACAAUCACUUUUUGGAGUAAAAUAAUAAUGUUCAGAAGUGUACCUGUUGUUUCCAUUGUUGGAGUGGCCACUGGACCCUCAUUCAUGUUUGUUAAGAAGGUACAGUCCCAGGGUAAUAGGGCCUUCUACUCCCAUCCACACUCAUUCUGCAUCUUUAUUAAUUCCAAGAUAUCAAAGAACCCUCUACUAUUUGUAAAUGAUGAAUCACUGUCUUGCGGACAAACAAGAUUUAGCUUGGGACCUAAAAGGAUCAGGAUGAGAUAAUUUUUUCUUACCCAAAAAGACCCAUUAUGAGAGAAUGAACCACAACUGGUACAAUAAACAUAGCUUUCCACUUUGAUCAGUGUAGUGGCAUCACAAAAAUUCUGAAUAGAAUUAAGUAGAAAAUCUUCAUACUUACAUGAUAAUAAUGAGGUAAAAGAUUGUCCUUAUAUAAUAAAUAUCUUGCACUGCAUUUAGUCAAACAUUAAGGUAAAACUAAAAAGUUUCUAGUUGAAUAACAUUUUUUUUAAAACCCAGUGAUCUUCUAAAUAUUUUGUUUCAUUUUUUAUAUAUUGUCCUAAUUUAUUUCCAACAUAAAAAAUUUACUUUUGUUAUUUUUAUUUUACUUCCAUCAUGCCUAUAAUUUGUAGUUUGAUAUUUCAGUGUUAAUAUUAUAACUGAGCCUUUAACCUUUAACCUUUGUGUUUUACUGGUAGAAUAUUCUUAGAAUACCUUACAAGUCAAUAAUCUUUUUCUAUUUUGUUAGAUUGGUUAUGAACUUAUGAGGUGCUGGGCCUGGUGCUGAUGUUGGUAAUUGUGCUGAUGCUAGUGGUGGCGGUGUUCACGGGUUCCUUCUAGCUGCUGCUUCGUCUUGACUACUUCCAUAGAUGCAAGGUCAGCACAGCCUUUGAGAGCAGCGAUGCAAGUCAAGUGAUUUGGUGCACAGGUGACGUCUUUGGCAGCUAGCAUCCAUUCGAACAGUUUCACAGCGAGCUCGGGCUCUCUGCUUUCAGUGUAGCUGAGGACCAUGGCCGUCCAGAUCGCCGGAUCUCUCCGCGUCUUGGUCCUCUUGAAGAGCCUCUGAGCAUCUAUAAGGCUUCCAAGUUUGGCAUACAGAUUGAUCAACGAGCUCACAACGUGGACAUGCAAGUCAAGACCAGAUCUCUCGGCCUGGCAGUGGAUUUCUGCGACUUUGUCGAGCAGGAACUUGCUACUACCAGCAGAGUGUUUCCUCGUCAAUCCCAGGCAGGCCAGUGGCCGCAAAGCUCAGAGCAUCUGCAGUGACGCUUGAGUCUUGCCUCCUGGAAAAAAAUUUCAAGGCCAGCUCUUCUUUGACAUUGUCCACAUGGCUGAGCACGAGGGCAGUCCAGGAAACAACGCUGGGGCAAGCCAUUUCCUGGAAAACAGCUCGGCAAAAGCCAUAGCUUGGGCAAGCGCUUAUAAAUCAUACAUGUCUUUAUUAUGUUAAAACUGAUUACUUGAGUGGAUGGUGAUGGUGUGAGAGCAAUAAAGAUCAAAGAAGGGAUUUGGGUCUAGUGAUUGAGUGGUGGUGCUAAAAUUGGUGUGGUGGUGGCUGAAUUGGAGGUGAUAGUGGUGCCAGUGCUAGUGUAGCUGGUGGAGGUGUUCUUCUUGGCAGUGGUGGUGGUGGUGUUUUAAGUGGUGGUGUUAGUGCAAUUGGAGGUGAUAGUGGUGCUAAUGCUGGUGUAACUGAUGGAUUUUCUGUGGUGUUUGUGAAAUUGGAGGUCAUAAUAGUGUUAGUGCUAGUGUAACUAGUGGAGGAGGUGUUCAUGGUGGUGGUGGU